RNAcentral lists this ribosomal RNA (176 nucleotides) under Scutellaria rehderiana. RNAcentral describes it as "5.8S ribosomal RNA". The stretch from base 6 to 161 matches the Rfam family "5.8S ribosomal RNA". Rfam says of the family: 5.8S ribosomal RNA (5.8S rRNA) is a component of the large subunit of the eukaryotic ribosome. It is transcribed by RNA polymerase I as part of the 45S precursor that also contains 18S and 28S rRNA. The record is from RNAcentral. Lineage: Eukaryota; Viridiplantae; Streptophyta; Magnoliopsida; Lamiales; Lamiaceae.
AUAACGACUCUCGGCAACGGAUAUCUCGGCUCUCGCAUCGAUGAAGAACGUAGCGAAAUGCGAUACUUGGUGUGAAUUGCAAAAUCCCGUGAACCAUCGAGUCUUUGAACGCAAGUUGCGCCCGAAGCCAUCAGGCCGAGGGCACGCCUGCCUGGGCGUCACGCAUCGCGUUCCCC